RNAcentral lists this long non-coding RNA (736 nucleotides) under Xyrichtys novacula (pearly razorfish). Lineage: Eukaryota; Metazoa; Chordata; Actinopteri; Labriformes; Labridae. The record is from RNAcentral.
AUCUGAAGCUGAAAAGUUCUCGGUAAUUCUGCGUUUUUUUCUCCACUUCCUUAAACCAACAUUGUUCAGUAACGUUGUUCACAUUCAGCAGGAGAGUCUCUGUGAUGACGCUCGGCUCAAACAGCGUAUCCCCCGGUGAUCUACUCAAUCCCUGUCCUCCCAUUGGCUGUAUCAGGUGUCAAUCAUAGAAAACAUGAACCCCCUGGACUGUUCCAGUAUGUUUCCAAAAGUCCAAAAUUUUCUGAAACAUUCCGGAAUCUUACUGAUCUUUUAGAAUGUCUUUGAUGUUAUAGAAUGUUAUUGAUCUUUUAGAAUGUCUUUGAUGUUAUAGAAUGUUAUUGAUCUUUUAGAAUGUCUUUGAUGUUACGGAAUGUUCGGUGAUAUUCUAGAAUGUUCUACAUCCUCCAGAGCGUCACCACCACAGACUGUAUUUACUCAUUCAGAGGGAGAGUCUCUGUGAUGACGCUCGGCUCAAACAGCGUAUCCCCCGGUGAUCUACUCAAUCUCUGUCCUCCCAUUGGCUGUAUCAGGUGUCAAUCAUAGAAAACAUGAACCCCCUAAUAACUUUUAAAAAUGGAGCUGUACAGAAAAAAGAGGACUUGAGCACAAACCAGUCUGACAGUAACUACAUGUCAACAUCACAACCAGGGGGGAGAAACAUUUAUAUUCUGUGUCAUUCAUUUAUAAAGUUUGUCCACAGCUCCAUAAGGAGGCGGGGUUUAGGACCUAUACUGCA